Molecule: long non-coding RNA, 523 nt
Filed under: Homo sapiens (human)
Lineage: Eukaryota; Metazoa; Chordata; Mammalia; Primates; Hominidae
Description: non-protein coding DLX6-AS1:4
Rfam family: Embryonic ventral forebrain-2 long ncRNA (bases 1-140)
Source: RNAcentral
UUUCACACCUGGAUGUGCUCACUCAACCAAGAAUAUAGAGAAAGAGCUUCUGCCCUGAGACUCAGAAAAAUAUUCUCCUGUGCUUUGGUUCAGUAUAGAUUUCUAAACCCUGAUCAUUGCUUAAGAGAUAUUCACUGAGGUUGCUGAGACAAAGGAAAACCCACUCCCUUGGAGGAGCAUGACCUUUUCCUGUAAUUCUUCCCACUGCUGUUGUUGAGCUCCUUGGAUCCUGGCUCCUGGACACCAUCAUCAAGAAGACUUUAUGGAUGGGCUGUCCACCCACUGAGAGAAGAGGAGCAUCAGCUACAGUUUCUCUCUAGAUUGCCUUCUUCAUUUUGAGUAAUGACUGUCAGCAGGGUCAGAUUAAACACAAAACAACUGGACAAUUGCUUGGAGGACUAAACUAUAAGGGCACUAACAUGUCAAUAGUAGGCUAACACAUCCAUGGAAAAUAUAUUUACCAGCUCUUCUCUCAGGGAGGAUUCUGUGUGGGGUUGGAAGUAAUGAUUUGUUAAAUUCCUUA